UCACAGUACUGACAAAUUAACUGGUUUGAAACCAUCACCAGGGUAGUUUUUUUUUAAACGCUGUGAGAUGAAUUAAAGCGUCGGCUAAGCUAUGUUAUGCGAAUGUAAGCAUUGCGCCUAUUCAGUGUAACACGCAGCCUCGUUACAAUA
Molecule: small nucleolar RNA, 150 nt
Organism: Drosophila melanogaster (fruit fly)
Lineage: Eukaryota; Metazoa; Arthropoda; Insecta; Diptera; Drosophilidae
Source: Ensembl